Long non-coding RNA from Drosophila willistoni, 756 nucleotides. RefSeq lists it as uncharacterized. The transcript has 2 exons. The record is from RefSeq and is a predicted model, not a curated record. NCBI's taxonomy places the organism in Eukaryota, Metazoa, Arthropoda, Insecta, Diptera, Drosophilidae.
GAAAAGCAUUUCGCAUAGAAACACGACAGAGCUUCAUAUUAAUUGUAUCCCCGACACGGACAGCUCCAAAAGUGUUUAAGGUCACGCGAAUUGCAAUGACAUGGUCUUGCUUCCAAAAAAAAAUCGAGCCUAAACGGGGCGUCGGCCUCGCACAGACCACCCCCUCGCAAUCAAGGACAAAUGGGCUUUUGGACACAAUGACACAAAGCAAAGGCGGAAGUGCGCUACAAUCCGUACACUGGCCAUGUUAGUGGCCGAAGCAAAAUACUUUAGGUUUAGAACCAAACCCAAAGACUUUUACACAUACAUAUACAUACAUAUGUAGAGCUUACAACAGUCUUUAUCGUCAGUUGCGUUGUCGUUUCUUCCAUUUCUCUGCAUUUGCGUGUUUGAUAUGGUCGCUGUUGCUGUCGUUGUUGCCUCACACAUUCACCAAUUGAGAGUUGAGGUUUGAGGGAUUUAAUACCUUUAUUGAUUGAAACAGGCUCACUUAUGUACAUAUUUAGCUAGAUAUCUUCGCAGUUAUAGCAGAGUCAACUUUGGCGCUUAAGAAUUCACUCUCACCUGUUUCACUAAUAUCCUUGGCGGAGUAUCCUUGGCAAUGAAUAAUGUGCAGCUUUGAUGAAUCAGUCGGAAAUUAGCGCAUUUAUGCCGAAUUUUGAUAUAUUUUACUUAAUUAUUGAGUUAGUUUAAACUUAUUUUAUGCAAUUCAAACUUAAAGUAAGCAGGGGCAGCAACAAAACAAAAACAGCGAAA